CUUGAUGGCGCCGAGCCAGAGAGGCCGGCCUUCCGGUCGGUCCUGGCCGAAAGUGGCGAGGAGGGCUUGUGCCUC
RNAcentral lists this antisense RNA (75 nucleotides) under Streptomyces caatingaensis. RNAcentral's name for it is "ASpks TB sRNA". It matches the Rfam family "ASpks TB sRNA". Lineage: Bacteria; Bacillati; Actinomycetota; Actinomycetes; Kitasatosporales; Streptomycetaceae. The record is from Rfam by way of RNAcentral.